CCUGUCUCAGAAAAAAGAUGAUCUCGGACUCAUUAACCGUUGGAUCGUCGUGAAAUUUGAGCACCACGUUCGCAACCCAAUUUCGAGCAUUCUCACCGUUGGGAAUUGCAAAAUCAUGUCUGAGCUUAGAGUAAAAUCCUUCGCAUUGUAGCUUUUUAUUAUCCCGCAGAAACCCAAAACUGUCUCGGUAAAACUACGAUCCCGGUUUCGUUAACCGUUGGAUUUUCACGAAAUUUGGAUAUGUUCCUCGAAAUUCAAUUUCUCACACUCUAACCGUUGAGAUUUGCGAGAUAAUGUUCGUGGUGGGAGAAAAAGGAAUCGCAUGGAGACAGUACAAGCGGAGGCUUCAAUCUCUUCUCCGUCUCUCUGACGUUCGAGAAUUCUAUCGGAGCAGUCGGAGGAAAAACUUGAGGAAUCUCAAGGAACCGCUAUAGAUGCCGCUAUCGUUGUCGGAAGACACGUGAGUCCGCUUAGAGACGACUAGGUGAAUUGCUUUAAGGAACAUUAUGCUGAAGGACGUCGAGACACAACGCUCUGAUAGAAUGUGACAGUGGGACAUAAGUUUUUAUAUUAGUGGCAUGAUGUUAGUCUAUUUUAUUUUAUUUCACUGAUUUAAUAAAAUAUCUCUGUAAAUUUUGAUGGCCUUAUUUUGAGCCAAAUAUGUUUCAAUAAGUUUUAAUUGAUAAUAGUGAAGUGAAUGUGAACCUUUUACCCGUGUGAA
Molecule: long non-coding RNA, 721 nt
Organism: Glycine soja
Lineage: Eukaryota; Viridiplantae; Streptophyta; Magnoliopsida; Fabales; Fabaceae
Exons: 2
Source: RefSeq, a predicted model, not a curated record